GAUGAACGCUGGCGGCGUGCCUAAUACAUGCAAGUCGAGCGAACAGACGAGGAGCUUGCUCCUCUGACGUUAGCGGCGGACGGGUGAGUAACACGUGGAUAACCUACCUAUAAGACUGGGAUAACUUCGGGAAACCGGAGCUAAUACCGGUUAACAUGUUGAACCGCAUGGUUCAACAGUGAAAGACGGUCUUGCUGUCACUUAUAGAUGGAUCCGCGCCGCAUUAGCUAGUUGGUAAGGUAACGGCUUACCAAGGCAACGAUGCGUAGCCGACCUGAGAGGGUGAUCGGCCACACUGGAACUGAGACACGGUCCAGACUCCUACGGGAGGCAGCAGUAGGGAAUCUUCCGCAAUGGGCGAAAGCCUGACGGAGCAACGCCGCGUGAGUGAAGAAGGUCUUCGGAUCGUAAAACUCUGUUAUUAGGGAAGAACAAAUGUGUAAGUAACUAUGCACGUCUUGACGGUACCUAAUCAGAAAGCCACGGCUAACUACGUG
RNAcentral lists this ribosomal RNA (497 nucleotides) under uncultured bacterium. RNAcentral describes it as "partial 16S ribosomal RNA". It matches the Rfam family "Bacterial small subunit ribosomal RNA", at positions 28 to 507 of the family's 1533-position model. The record is from RNAcentral.